UGCCAGCAGUCGCGGUUAUACCAAGGAAUCGAGUCAUGUAUUUAAUGGUAAAAAGACAGUUAGGUAUAAAUUAUUUUUUAGAGUUAGGCUUAAUGCUUUGUAUAGAGGUAAAAUUUAAGUGCAGUUGUAUAAUUUAUUAGCUACUUGUAAGCUGAAUCUGUGAAAUCCUUUAGGGAAACUGGGAUUAGGUACCCCAUUAUUUUUGGAUAUAAAUUAAGUAUAAUAUUUACCAGAGUACUAUGAAUGUUAAAGAUUUAAAACUCAAAGAACUUGGCGGUGUUUUAGACCACUCAGGGGAACCUGUCUCAUAAUCGAUAAUCCACGUUGUACCUGACCUUUUUUUGUUGUUCAGUUUGUAUACCGUUGUCGUCAGGUAACUUUUUAGAAACUAGAAGUUAGCAGUAGGAAAUAUGGAAAAUGAUUUAGUACGUCAAAUCAAGGUGCAGCUAAUGAAAAGGGGAGGAUGGGUUACAAUUAUAUAUUUGUAAUACGGAAAAGUGCAUGUAAGUGUAUUGGUUUUGAAGGUGGACUUGAAAGUAAAUCUGAAUAUAUAAAUAGUUUGAAUAAGGCUCUGAAACGUGUACACAUCGCCCGUCACUCU
This is a ribosomal RNA of 601 nucleotides. It matches the Rfam family "Microsporidia small subunit ribosomal RNA", at positions 391 to 1205 of the family's 1311-position model.